RNAcentral lists this ribosomal RNA (375 nucleotides) under Nostoc sp. PJ S6. RNAcentral's name for it is "bacterial SSU rRNA". It matches the Rfam family "Bacterial small subunit ribosomal RNA", at positions 398 to 792 of the family's 1533-position model. Lineage: Bacteria; Bacillati; Cyanobacteriota; Cyanophyceae; Nostocales; Nostocaceae. The record is from RNAcentral.
CGCGAGAGGGAGGGGCUCUUGGGUCGUAAACCUCUUUUCUCAGGGAAGAACACAAUGACGGUACCUGAGGAAUAAGCAUCGGCUAACUCCGUGCCAGCAGCCGCGGUAAUACGGAGGAUGCAAGCGUUAUCCGGAAUGAUUGGGCGUAAAGCGUCCGCAGGUGGCUGUGUAAGUCUGCUGUUAAAGAGUCUAGCUCAACUAGAUAAGAGCAGUGGAAACUACACGGCUAGAGUACGUUCGGGGCAGAGGGAAUUCCUGGUGUAGCGGUGAAAUGCGUAGAGAUCAGGAAGAACACCGGUGGCGAAGGCGCUCUGCUAGGCCGUAACUGACACUGAGGGACGAAAGCUAGGGGAGCGAAUGGGAUUAGUCCCCGUA